ACGGCGAGUGAAGCGGCAAGAGCUCAAAUUUGAAAGCUGGCUCCUUCGGGGUCCGCAUUGUAAUUUGUAGAGGAUGCUUCGGGAGCGGUCCCCAUCUAAGUGCCCUGGAACGGGACGUCAUAGAGGGUGAGAAUCCCGUAUGGGAUGGGGUGUCCGCGCCCGUGUGAAGCUCCUUCGACGAGUCGAGUUGUUUGGGAAUGCAGCUCUAAAUGGGUGGUAAAUUUCAUCUAAAGCUAAAUAUUGGCCGGAGACCGAUAGCGCACAAGUAGAGUGAUCGAAAGAUGAAAAGCACUUUGAAAAGAGAGUUAAAAAGCACGUGAAAUUGUUGAAAGGGAAGCGCUUGCGACCAGACUCGCUCGCGGGGUUCAGCCGGCAUUCGUGCCGGUGUAUUUCCCCGCGGGCGGGCCAGCGUCGGUUUGGGCGGUCGGUCAAAGGCCCUCGGAAGGUAACGCCCCUAGGGGCGUCUUAUAGCCGAGGGUGCAAUGCGACCUGCCUAGACCGAGGAACGCGCUUCGGCUCGGACGCUGGCAUAAUGGUCGUAAGCGACCCGU
This 551-nucleotide ribosomal RNA is filed under the name Penicillium concentricum. RNAcentral's name for it is "partial large subunit ribosomal RNA". It matches the Rfam family "Eukaryotic large subunit ribosomal RNA", at positions 86 to 652 of the family's 3401-position model. The record is from RNAcentral. Lineage: Eukaryota; Fungi; Ascomycota; Eurotiomycetes; Eurotiales; Aspergillaceae.